GUCUUGUAAUUGGAAUGAUGGGAAUUUAAACCUCUUCCAGAGUAUCAAUUGGAGGGCAAGUCUGGUGCCAGCAGCCGCGGUAAUUCCAGCUCCAAUAGCGUAUAUUAAAAUUGUUGCAGUUAAAAAGCUCGUAGUUGAAUUUCUGCUGCAUUGCAUUUUCUCCUAUACGAGUUUUUGCAUUGUGGCUUAUUUCGGUUAUAAAAUUUAUUUUUAUUUCCGGAUGUUUACUUUGAGAAAAUUAUAGUGCUCAAAGCAGGCUUUUGCCUUGAAUAGUUUAGCAUGGAAUAAUAAAGUAGGACUUUGGUUCUAUUUUGUUGGUUUUAGGUACCAAAGUAAUGGUUAAUAGGAACAGUUGGGGGC
This 360-nucleotide ribosomal RNA is filed under the name Theileria capreoli. Its description in RNAcentral is "SSU rRNA". It matches the Rfam family "Eukaryotic small subunit ribosomal RNA", at positions 500 to 889 of the family's 1831-position model. The record is from RNAcentral. Lineage: Eukaryota; Apicomplexa; Aconoidasida; Piroplasmida; Theileriidae.